CUAAAUACUUGUAUAGAUAAAUAUUUCUUGUAUAUUCUUCCCAUACAAGCAAGACUUGAAUACAGUUGUAGCUAGUCCCACUUUUAUAAUAAAAGCUUCCAAACUCUUUAUCAUAAACUUUGUCUGUGAGCUUGGGAAUACAGAGAAAGCAAGUUGAUCAUUCUGAGACCCUUCCUCAUUUGCCCUGAAUCAGUUCCCCAAGAUUGGACUGUACUUUAAGCUAGUUGUUGUAGCAGUGGUGGUUGUUGUUUUAUAUCUUGAGAUACUUCUAGAACAUUCUAGAAACAGGGUAUUCUAAAGGCUUACUUUAUAUGCCAUCCUUUUUGAACCCUCUUAUUUUAGAAAUUAUUACACGUGCACACUUAUGAUUUCAACCUUGUAAAAUAAUUUCAAAUUCAUUUCGUAUCCACAUUUUACUGCAGUUUCCCUAUCAUCAUCUCAAUAGUUAUAGAACUGGUUGAAAUUAAACUGUUUUGAACUAAGAAGUAGAUAUAUAUAUAUAUAUAUAUAUAUAUUUUUUUUUUUUUUUUUAAAGAGUGUUCAUAGAUAAACUCUGGCAUAAAGUUUGUAAAAAAGCAAUUUUUUAAAAGCAAAACGUAUAACCUCAGGUACAAAAAUAUUGCAUGCAUUAGUAUUGCAAAUUUGCCUACUCAAAUAUUAACCAAAGCAUGCAAGAUAACUUGACUGAAUUUAAAUUUACACAGUGCAUGAUUAAGUCUCAUAGGUUAGCCUGUUGUUCCUUGCCUCUAUACAAGGGAGCAUUUUUAUGAACUUUGUGUUACAGUUUUUCUAUUUGCUUUUCUUAUCCUAUCCUUGAGAUUGUUUUCAUGCUAUCACACUGAACUUUACAGAUAUUCACACAUCUGGUUUCUACAGUGUUACCAGUGCCAAACUAAUCCUCUGAAGAAUCUGGGACAUCUAAACACUUUUUCAAAAACCAGUUGAGGCACAACAGAUCCCAAACUUAAACAAAUCCAAGUGUCUGAAUGCUACUAAACUAAAUCAUGUUGACUGCCUCAGCACAUAAAGGUUUCGACUUUAAAUUCUUAAUAAUGCAUUUCAAAAUUUUUCUAAAAGUUUGGGAAUAAAUUAGAAAAACUGAUAUUCUAAAUAAGGCGAGGAGGUUGGGGUAAUGUCAGGCACAUCAAAAUCAUCACACAACGAAGUAGAUAUGGGGCCUUAAUUUUCAUAAAUGUCACAUAGCAAGUGUGUGGGGUAUCACAACAUUGUUCUGAUACAGCCCUGUUUGUAUGGUAGUUGAGCUGCUUGGGCUAAAUGUCCCUUGAGAAACUGGACUUGAUCAACAGGUCUAAAAACACUGAUAUUUAGGGAGUGAUGAGGUGAUUUCACGGUCACUCAGAACCAACUCUGAAAUCUUCUCACUGCCUUUUCCCAUAACCCCUAUUUUAUGAGGAGACCAGAAAGGGAGAGAGCAAAGCUCAGUGAGACCAUGUGGUCUUACAUUAGUAACAGCUUUGUUACUCACUCCAUAUACCCCGGUACCCUCACACACAUACCAUGAACUCAAAGACAGAAUUCUACACAUAACACACAUAGCAAAGACGAUUGUGGGGAGGCAUUAAACAGUUAAGAGGAAAAAAAAAAACACAGAAAAUUAAACUGUGAGGUUUAACAACCUCUCAUGUGGUAUUUUGCCUUGAACGAAGUUUCCACUACCUGCAGCUUCUGCAGAAAUACCAAAAUAACACAGUCUAGAGACAAGUGUCCCAAUGUCAGAACUGUUUUCUCAGGACCUUCUCUAUAAGAGAAAACUAACUUGCAAUGCUGCAGAAUGUCAGAGCAAAACCCUGAUGAGCUCCGUGGGAUACUUAAUAGAAGCCUGCACUCAAAAUAAUAUUAAGAUGGAAACAACAACAACAAUUAGGCAGUUCUUUGCUCAACUAUAAAAUGUGUAUCAUUCAUUGGGGGAGGGGGAGGGGUCGUGUUCUUUGGAUUUCUUGGAAAGGGAAAUGGUAUAACACAAAAAGACUAAGAGGUAUACACACUCAGCUCGGUAAUUCGAGCAUUUGGCAUUUUCACUGAGAUAUAUAGCAUUUCUGCAUGGAUACCAUACAAGAAUUCUGCCAUGUGAGAAAUGUGUUCAUGAUGGACUACAUUACCAGUAGUUAAGGGAAAUACAGCAAACUUAAGUUUUUACCAACUUCCUUUCAUGUUCCCUAUAUAUCAUCUAACCCAAACUUUCAAUUUACAUUGCCCAAAUUUGUUUACAUUGGUUGAAAAAAAACUGAUUAAUUUAUUAAACUUUUUACAAACUGUAACAAACAUUUAACUAUUUAGAAAAGACAUUUCUACAUAUUUUAUAUAUCUAUGAAUAUUGCAUCUCUAAUCUAAUCUAAAAAUGUUGUUUUGAGACAAUUCUUCUGUGAUGCUUCCUCCUCAUGCUCAUAAAUGUUUAAAGUCUUGGGAUUUCAUUUUCAGGCUGAAAUAGAUAACAAGAAAAAAAUUUAAGUUUAAAUGUUUACAUUGCGUUACUAAAUUAAUACCAAUUCAAAUUAAGUGACCUAUAGUAAAUUAAUGGCAAUGGGGGGGAGGGGAUUUUAAAGUGAUUGGCAUAUUAUGUGAUACUGUAUCAGUGAUUUAGUGAAAUAAUAUGUAUCAUAGCACAACUCUGUUGGGUAUUAAGGCUUCAUCUUAGUAUUUCCCUGCGUUGCUCUUUGAAAUAAAAUUACUACCAUAAAAAUAACCUCUUAUCAUAUUGAUGUGUUUAAUUUACUCAGUUGGCUUCUAAUUUGCGUAACAAGAUUAAGGUAGUAUUUUUGUACUAUUAUUGGAAGCAUGCCUUCCCUUUUUCACAUUAUUAAAUUGUAUUUAUAUUUGUGCAAUUUUAAACUAUGUUUUCAAAUAAACUUUGUCUGCGGCUUCGAGGUCUUUUCAGGAAUCUUUCAAAAUGGGAUUUGGGGAUCAGAACUCCUUCUGAUCAAAUGGAAUCCAAUUUGUACUACUGGCUAAAGGUCCUUUUAUUAAAUAUUGAAUAUCACUACAUAUGAUUUUGCAUGAGCUAUCUGGAAAUCAGGAAUGCAUUUUUGGAUAUAAAACAAAACUUUAAAAAUCUUCCUCCUUUGUUAAUUUUUUAAGACUAAAAUAUUAUUUAACCUGAAAUUGAAUUUUGUGAUUCUUUUUAGAAUAAAAAUAUUAAAA
Molecule: long non-coding RNA, 3159 nt
Filed under: Homo sapiens (human)
Lineage: Eukaryota; Metazoa; Chordata; Mammalia; Primates; Hominidae
Description: non-protein coding lnc-MRPL47-5:1
Source: RNAcentral